This 426-nucleotide ribosomal RNA is filed under the name uncultured bacterium. RNAcentral describes it as "partial 16S ribosomal RNA". It matches the Rfam family "Bacterial small subunit ribosomal RNA", at positions 354 to 796 of the family's 1533-position model. The record is from RNAcentral.
GUGAGGAAUAUUCCGCAAUGGGGGAAACCCUGACGGAGCAAUGCCGCGUGCAGGAUGAAGGCCCUCGGGUCGUAAACUGCUUUUAUAUGAGAAGAAUAUGACGGUAACAUAUGAAUAAGGGACGGCUAACUACGUGCCAGCAGCCGCGGUCAUACGUAGGUCCCAAGCGUUAUCCGGAGUGACUGGGCGUAAAGAGUUGCGUAGGCGGCUCGUUAAGCGUGAAAUGAAAUUUAUCGGCUCAACCGGUAAACUAUUUCGCGAACUGACGGGCUCGAGAGUAUGAGAGGUUACUGGAAUUUCUAGUGUAGCAGUGAAAUGCGUAGAUAUUAGAAAGAACACCAACGGCGUAGGCAGGUAACUGGCAUACAUCUGACGCUGAGGCACGAAAGCGUGGGGAGCGAACCGGAUUAGAAACCCGGGUAGUCC